UACCGCCUACGGGGGGCAGCAGUGGGGAAUAUCGGGCAAUGGGCGCAAGCCUGACCCAGCAACGCCGCGUGAAGGAAGAAGGCUUUCGGGUUGUAAACUUCUUUUCUGGGGGACGAACAAAUGACGGUACCCCAGGAAUAAGCCACGGCUAACUACGUGCCAGCAGCCGCGGUAAUACGUAGGUGGCAAGCGUUAUCCGGAUUUAUUGGGUGUAGAGGGCGUGUAGGCGGGAAUGCAAGUCAGAUGUGAAAACUAUGGGCUCAACCCAUAGCCUGCAUUUGAAACUGUAUUUCUUGAGUGUUGGG
This 305-nucleotide ribosomal RNA is filed under the name uncultured bacterium. RNAcentral's name for it is "bacterial SSU rRNA". It matches the Rfam family "Bacterial small subunit ribosomal RNA", at positions 333 to 653 of the family's 1533-position model. The record is from RNAcentral.